Molecule: long non-coding RNA, 543 nt
Organism: Panthera uncia (snow leopard)
Lineage: Eukaryota; Metazoa; Chordata; Mammalia; Carnivora; Felidae
Exons: 2
Source: RefSeq, a predicted model, not a curated record
UGCUGCUACGGCAUUCCCUGUAGUCCACGUUGCUAGGAGAGGAUGAAUUCAGGAGCUGUGGGCUUUCCAGCAUUUCAGCCAGACCCUGUCAACACCUCUUAAAUAACCAGUGGCACUCACAGCCAGGCAGCAGAUUGUCGAUGGAUCUGGAUAAGUCAUAACACAGGCACGCGCAAAGCUGCUUUAAAGACAAUAUUUCAAGGAGAAAACAGCAUAUGGGAAAUGCGAUCCUCUCCAUAAUUAGCAAUUAUUUAGUGAGGUGGCUUUUCCCCCUCAUCUGAUUGAAGAGCCACUCAAAUCAUGUUUUCAUUUCCAGUGCAUCUGGGGGAGGAGCGAAGCAUUCAAAAUACUACUUUAUGAAGAAGAGACAUAAAAUGAGCCCAAACUGGAGAACGUGUGUAGAAAGCAUCGACGUCGACAAACACUGCUAACUCGCACGAUGAGAGCCGUAACACGGACCCAGAUAUGGUUUUUGUUUGUUUGUUUGUUUGCAAAUGCUUACCUGUCACCUGGAAUGACAAUAAAACCUGCAUUUUGAAAUUU